This 249-nucleotide long non-coding RNA is filed under the name Ricinus communis (castor bean). RNAcentral describes it as "long non-coding RNA (RCOM_LNC000711)". The record is from RNAcentral. Lineage: Eukaryota; Viridiplantae; Streptophyta; Magnoliopsida; Malpighiales; Euphorbiaceae.
GUUGGAAGGAUGAUUUAUAUAUUAAUAUGUAUGUUAAACCUUCCUCUCUGUCUUUGUGCAUAGCAUGUGCAUCAUGCAUCUCAUGCAUUACAUGCAUUAUACUAACCUCUUGAUUUUUAGCCAUAUAGAUACUCCUUUGGAUUAAAGAAAACAAGAUAGUGAAAGGUUGGAGAGGACACCAAUCUCACCAGGAAUCCGGAUUGUACUAGAGCUUCUAAAAAAACUAAGACAUCAAGCUUCCAUAAGCGA